UGAACGCUGGCGGUAUGCUUAACACAUGCAAGUCGAACGGAAACGAUACUAGCUUGCUAGUAGGCGUCGAGUGGCGGACGGGUGAGUAACGCGUAGGAAUCUGCCUGAUAGUGGGGGAUAGCCCGAAGAAAUUCGGAUUAAUACCGCAUAAUCUAUUCGUAGUAAAGUGGGGGACUUUCGAGCCUCACGCUAUCAGAUGAGCCUGCGUAAGAUUAGCUUGUUGGUAGGGUAAAAGCCUACCAAGGCGACGAUCUUUAGCUGGUCUGAGAGGAUGAUCAGCCACAUCGGGACUGAGACACGGCCCGAACUCCUACGGGAGGCAGCAGUGGGGAAUAUUGGACAAUGGGGGCAACCCUGAUCCAGCAAUACCGCGUGUGUGAAGAAGGCCUGAGGGUUGUAAAGCACUUUCAAUUGUGAAGAAAAGUUAGCGGUUAAUAACCGUUAGCCUUGACGUUAACUUUAGAAGAAGCACCGGCUAACUCCGUGCCAGCAGCCGCGGUAAUACGGAGGGUGCAAGCGUUAAUCGGAAUUACUGGGCGUAAAGCGUGCGUAGGCGGUUUAUUAAGUCAGAUGUGAAAGCCCCGGGCUUAACCUGGGAACUGCAUUUGAAACUGGUCAACUAGAGUAUGGUAGAGGAAAGUGGAAUUUCUGGUGUAGCGGUGAAAUGCGUAGAUAUCAGAAGGAACAUCAAUGGCGAAGGCAGCUUUCUGGACCAAUACUGACGCUGAGGUACGAAAGCGUGGGUAGCAAACAGGAUUAGAUACCCUGGUAGUCCACGCCGUAAACGAUGAUAACUAGCCGUUGGGGGGAUUUACCCUUUAGUGGCGAAGCUAACGCGUUAAGUUAUCCGCCUGGGGAGUACGGCCGCAAGGUUAAAACUCAAAGGAAUUGACGGGGACCCGCACAAGCGGUGGAGCAUGUGGUUUAAUUCGAUGCAACGCGAAGAACCUUACCUGGUCUUGACAUCCUGCGAACUUUCUAGAAAUAGAUUGGUGCCUUCGGGAACGCAGUGACAGGUGCUGCAUGGCUGUCGUCAGCUCGUGUCGUGAGAUGUUGGGUUAAGUCCCGUAACGAGCGCAACCCCUAUCCUUAUUUGCCAGCACAUCAUGGUGGGAACUAUAAGGAGACUGCCGGUGAUAAACCGGAGGAAGGCGGGGACGACGUCAAGUCAUCAUGGCCCUUACGACCAGGGCUACACACGUGCUACAAUGGGAAGGACAAAGAGCCGCGAAGCCGCGAGGUGUAGCUAAUCUCAUAAACCUUUUCGUAGUCCGGAUUGGAGUCUGCAACUCGACUCCAUGAAGUCGGAAUCGCUAGUAAUCGUAGAUCAGAAUGCUACGGUGAAUACGUUCCCGGGUCUUGUACUCACCGCC
Molecule: ribosomal RNA, 1373 nt
Filed under: uncultured bacterium
Lineage: Bacteria
Description: 16S ribosomal RNA
Rfam family: Bacterial small subunit ribosomal RNA
Source: RNAcentral